GAGUCCCAGUCAGCAAGUUUAGGCAUUGCCUAGACUUAGUUGGUGUUUAUAGUGCUUAGUAAUGUCCUUGCGAGGGCAUAUGACAAGACAGAGUGUUUAUGAUUAUUUUCUUUAUGAUUGAGGGAAUUCAACCCAUGGAGAAGAAUUGUUAUUUUGUGGCUUGAAUUUUAGAUAUAUUUUUCAUGGACCCGAAUUGUGUCCUAAUUCGAAAGUUUCGUACUGUGAUCCAAUUGAGAUAAAAAGUGAUAUCUAUGGUGAUAGCGGAGAGCACGGGUUGAUAGGAGAGUUGUGAGAUAUUUGGGAAAUACUUUCUGAUAUAUCCAAAAUAUUUUACUCGCUAUCAGAACAUGUUACAUGUACCAUGCAGGAAACUUCAUAGUUCAGGACAAAAUUGUGUUCCCACAGUUGGCCAUUUGAGCCACAGUGGGAAAUGCCGGGUGAUUUUGUCAAUCAAGUGGGAUUGAGUUGAGCCUUUCUGCUUGAUUAAUUUACAUUUUCUUUUCAACUGUUUGAAUUAACCAAUGGAGGAUUGCUAUAACUGCAAAAAAUAUUUUUCUUAGCAGCAACUUUAACGUUGAUGCCAAAUAGGCUCUUCCUGCUAUUUAGUUAUUAUCCUAAAAUGAUUUCAAUUUUAAAUAUGAUUGCUUUUUGACUGAUAUGCUAGCUGCUGAUGCAUCUUAUCAGACCAUAGGAGCCUUAACUUCACCUACAAGGAUGGCUGUGCAGAUUUCUAACUUGUAAUUAUGAGUUUUUGACAUGAUAAAGGAUAGACAUAUUACUGGAAUAGGACCACUAAAAUUUCAAAUUUGAGUAUCAAUUAUAAAAAUAAAAAAACUACAAAGACAGAUGACAAAAAGAUAUUAGAUUAUCUCUUAUUGCUAAUAUGUAAACCUGGAAGGGUAGAAUUGCAAAGCCUUUUAUGGGUGUUGAAAAAGAGAUAAUAGUAAUAAAUAAUAAUUGAGGUAAAGGAACUCAUCAGGCGUGCUUGAUCCCUGAAGCUCAAUUGUUUUGAUAGAAUUUUGGUUAUCUUUCAUUUAUGGGUGAGUAUCCAAUUGAAUUAGAGAAAAACUAAAUUAAAUCAAAUUAAAUAAAUUAAAAGUUUUAGCAGAUUGAAUUGAGUUGAAUUAAAUUAAUUUAAUUUGACUU
RNAcentral lists this unclassified non-coding RNA (1146 nucleotides) under Hevea brasiliensis (rubber tree). The record is from RNAcentral. Lineage: Eukaryota; Viridiplantae; Streptophyta; Magnoliopsida; Malpighiales; Euphorbiaceae.